RNAcentral lists this ribosomal RNA (251 nucleotides) under Glomus sp. RNAcentral's name for it is "partial large subunit ribosomal RNA". The record is from RNAcentral. Lineage: Eukaryota; Fungi; Glomeromycota; Glomeromycetes; Glomerales; Glomeraceae.
AUCAUCAUAAAAUGACCGGCGGAAUGUAGCUUCGACCUCGAUUGAAGUGUUAUAGCCUCUGGUAGAUGUGGUCAUCGGGACUGAGGAUUGCAACGAAUAUCCUUUGGGCUAUCCGUCUGAUCUCCGAAAGUUGCUCAGGUGCCGAAAGCGUGCUUACGGUCAUCUAAGUUGACGGUCAAUAGGUUAGAACGUGAUUACAUUCGUUAAGGAUGUUGGCGUAAUGGCUUUAAACGACCCGUCUUGAAACACGG